Molecule: ribosomal RNA, 496 nt
Filed under: uncultured Pseudomonas sp.
Lineage: Bacteria; Pseudomonadati; Pseudomonadota; Gammaproteobacteria; Pseudomonadales; Pseudomonadaceae
Description: partial 16S ribosomal RNA
Source: RNAcentral
CACGAAGUUAGCCGGUGCUUAUUCUGUCGGUAACGUCAAAACACUAACGUAUUAGGUUAAUGCCCCUCCUCCCAACUUAAAGUGCUUUACAAUCCGAAGACCUUCUUCACACACGCGGCAUGGCUGGAUCAGGCUUUCGCCCAUUGUCCAAUAUUCCCCACUGCUGCCUCCCGUAGGAGUCUGGACCGUGUCUCAGUUCCAGUGUGACUGAUCAUCCUCUCAGACCAGUUACGGAUCGCAGCCUUGGUGAGCCAUUACCUCACCAACUAGCUAAUCCGACCUAGGCUCAUCUGAUAGCGCAAGGCCCGAAGGUCCCCUGCUUUCUCCCGUAGGACGUAUGCGGUAUUAGCGUUCCUUUCGAAACGUUGUCCCCCACUACCAGGCAGAUUCCUAGGCAUUACUCACCCGUCCGCCGCUGAAUCAGGGAGCAAGCUCCCUUCAUCCGCUCGACUUGCAUGUGUUAGGCCUGCCGCAGCGUUCAAUCUGAGCCAGGAUA